ACAAGCGGAGGAGCAUGUGGUUUAAUUCGAUGCAACGCGAAGAACCUUACCUGGUCUUGACAUCCCGGAGACCCUUAGGAAACUAGGGGGUGCUUCCAUCUGGAAGAAUCUGGAGACAGGUGCUGCAUGGCUGUCGUCAGCUCGUGUCGUGAGAUGUUGGGUUAAGUCCCGCAACGAGCGCAACCCUUGCCUUUAGUUGCCAGCAGUUCGGCUGGGCACUCUAAAGGGACUGCCGGUGUUAAACCGGAGGAAGGUGGGGAUGACGUCAAGUCCUCAUGGCCUUUAUGACCAGGGCUACACACGUACUACAAUGGCCGAUACAAAGGGCAGCGACACUGCGAGGUGAAGCCAAUCCCGUAAAAUCGGUCUCAGUCCGGAUUGGAGUCUGCAACUCGACUGCGUGAAGUCGGAAUCGCUAGUAAUCGUGAAUCAGAAUGUCACGGUGAAUACGUUCCCGGGCCUU
RNAcentral lists this ribosomal RNA (463 nucleotides) under uncultured Desulfobulbus sp. Its description in RNAcentral is "bacterial SSU rRNA". It matches the Rfam family "Bacterial small subunit ribosomal RNA", at positions 925 to 1382 of the family's 1533-position model. Lineage: Bacteria; Pseudomonadati; Thermodesulfobacteriota; Desulfobulbia; Desulfobulbales; Desulfobulbaceae. The record is from RNAcentral.